UCAGGACGAACGCUGGCGGCGUGCUUAACACAUGCAAGUCGAACGAUGAACCACUUCGGUGGGGAUUAGUGGCGAACGGGUGAGUAACACGUGGGCAAUCUGCCCUUCACUCUGGGACAAGCCCUGGAAACGGGGUCUAAUACCGGAUAUCACCUCCACUCGCAUGGGUGGGGGUUGAAAGCUCCGGCGGUGAAGGAUGAGCCCGCGGCCUAUCAGCUUGUUGGUGAGGUAAUGGCUCACCAAGGCGACGACGGGUAGCCGGCCUGAGAGGGCGACCGGCCACACUGGGACUGAGACACGGCCCAGACUCCUACGGGAGGCAGCAGUGGGGAAUAUUGCACAAUGGGCGAAAGCCUGAUGCAGCGACGCCGCGUGAGGGAUGACGGCCUUCGGGUUGUAAACCUCUUUCAGCAGGGAAGAAGCGAAAGUGACGGUACCUGCAGAAGAAGCGCCGGCUAACUACGUGCCAGCAGCCGCGGUAAUACGUAGGGCGCAAGCGUUGUCCGGAAUUAUUGGGCGUAAAGAGCUCGUAGGCGGCUUGUCACGUCGGGUGUGAAAGCCCGGGGCUUAACCCCGGGUCUGCAUUCGAUACGGGCUAGCUAGAGUGUGGUAGGGGAGAUCGGAAUUCCUGGUGUAGCGGUGAAAUGCGCAGAUAUCAGGAGGAACACCGGUGGCGAAGGCGGAUCUCUGGGCCAUUACUGAC
Molecule: ribosomal RNA, 703 nt
Filed under: Streptomyces sp. L1763
Lineage: Bacteria; Bacillati; Actinomycetota; Actinomycetes; Kitasatosporales; Streptomycetaceae
Description: bacterial SSU rRNA
Rfam family: Bacterial small subunit ribosomal RNA
Source: RNAcentral